GCUUACGGCCAUACCACCCUGAACACGCCCGAUCUCGUCUGAUCUCGGAAGCUAAGCAGGGUCGGGCCUGGUCAGUACUUGGAUGCGAGACCGCCUGGGAAUACCAGGUGCUGUAAGCU
This 119-nucleotide ribosomal RNA is filed under the name Maylandia zebra (zebra mbuna). Lineage: Eukaryota; Metazoa; Chordata; Actinopteri; Cichliformes; Cichlidae. The record is from RNAcentral.